Molecule: small nuclear RNA, 101 nt
Organism: Cricetulus griseus (Chinese hamster)
Lineage: Eukaryota; Metazoa; Chordata; Mammalia; Rodentia; Cricetidae
Source: Ensembl
GUGUUGCUGGCAGCACGUAUACUAAAAUUGGAACAAUACAGAGAUUAGCCUGGUCCCUGUGCAAGGAUGACAUGCAAAUUCUUGAAGUGUUCUAUAUUUUA